Molecule: ribosomal RNA, 253 nt
Filed under: uncultured bacterium
Lineage: Bacteria
Description: partial 16S ribosomal RNA
Rfam family: Bacterial small subunit ribosomal RNA
Source: RNAcentral
UACGUAGGGGGCGAGCGUUGUCCGGAUUUACUGGGCGUAAAGGGUGCGUAGGCGGUUUUUUAAGUGAGAUGUGAAAUACCCGGGCUUAACUUGGGUGCUGCAUUUCAAACUGGAUAUCUAGAGUGCGGGAGAGGAGAAUGGAAUUCCUAGUGUAGCGGUGAAAUGCGUAGAGAUUAGGAAGAACACCAGUGGCGAAGGCGAUUCUCUGGACCGUAACUGACGCUGAGGCAUGAAAGCGUGGGUAGCAAACAGG